Stegodyphus mimosarum is the source of this 74-nucleotide non-coding RNA. Lineage: Eukaryota; Metazoa; Arthropoda; Arachnida; Araneae; Eresidae. The record is from Rfam.
GUCUUCGUGGUGUAGUGGUCAGCACGCUGGGCGCGCAUUCCAGAGGUCCGUGGUUCGAUUCCCGGCGAAAGGCG